Molecule: ribosomal RNA, 468 nt
Filed under: uncultured bacterium
Lineage: Bacteria
Description: partial 16S ribosomal RNA
Rfam family: Bacterial small subunit ribosomal RNA
Source: RNAcentral
GACGAACGCUGGCGGCGUGCUUAACACAUGCAAGUCGAACGGAAAGGCCCUGCUUUUGUGGGGUGCUCGAGUGGCGAACGGGUGAGUAACACGUGAGUAACCUGCCCUUGACUUUGGGAUAACUUCAGGAAACUGGGGCUAAUACCGGAUAGGAGCUCCUGCUGCAUGGUGGGGGUUGGAAAGUUUCGGCGGUUGGGGAUGGACUCGCGGCUUAUCAGCUUGUUGGUGGGGUAGUGGCUUACCAAGGCUUUGACGGGUAGCCGGCCUGGGAGGGUGACCGGCCACAUUGGGACUGAGAUACGGCCCAGACUCCUACGGGAGGCAGCAGUGGGGAAUAUUGCACAAUGGGCGGAAGCCUGAUGCAGCAACGCCGCGUGCGGGAUGACGUCCUUCGGGUUGUAAACCGCUUUCGCCUGUGACGAAGCGUGAGUGACGGUAAUGGGUAAAGAAGCACCGGCUAACUACGUG